AAGGGCCCAAUUGUAGGGUUCAGAAAAAGCAUCUCUACUUCUUUAGCUUUUCUUUAAGUGUGUAUGAGUUUAGAUUGGCUGUGUUACAUGCCUAAAAGGAAAAAUUACUAAAAAAAAAUGUCCCAAGGUGUGUUUGUCAAACAGUAGAGCAAACAAUUACAUUUGAUAGUGGUUGGGGAGGAACUGGAUUUUCCCCAGUAGUCCCAGUAUCAUAGUAACUUCUUUCUAGAACACCUGAGACUUCUGUGGUUACCAGAGAAUGGUCAUUCAGAGGUCUGCCAGGAGUGUCUGUCUUGCACUGCAUUCUGUGAAAGCCUCAACAUACAUCCCUGCACCCUCUCUGACCUACUCAUUUUUAUGGCUACAGAGCUGGGAAGCAAAGCUGGCAUCAUGUGGGGAGUUUCCAUGUGCAAAUGUCUACAUCCUUCAUUCAUGUCCUUCAAGGGUUUCCUUUCACAUUUUCUGAUUGUGUUUCUGAGUACAUGGUGUCAACAGCUCUCAGAAAUGUUAAGUUUUCUAUUUAUCCUCAGGCCAGGAAAAGGCACAGAUCACUGCAGUGUAAAAUUACCAGUGGUUUUGACAGUGACCUGGAAGAACUAUGGAAUGAAGAAAUUUAGCCUUGAGAGCAGAGGUUCAGCCCCAGGCCCAUCUUAACCAAGAAGUUCUGCUCAAUUAUACAGGUCACAAGAAGUUCUGCUAGUCUUGAAAAUAUUGAACUCAUCAAACUUAAGUUUGGUGUUGUUGACAAAUCUUGGUGUGUCUUGGACACAGCCUUGGACACCAACUACCGUAUUUACUUGUUUAUUGCCUCCUUUGUUCCAUUUCUACUCAACUUUAAUUUUGAAAAGUAAUUCUGAGUUUUAAAAUUUGCUUUUUAUUUCUUUUGCAAGGGCUUUCCAAGUCAGCACAAACUCUUCUGAAGGUUUGAAAAACGAGGCAAAAUAGUAAAAAUGGCCAUAUUUGCUGAAAACAAAGAGGAUUUAUUUCUUUGGAACUGUUCUGACCAAGCGUUUAGAGAGCAGAUGUCAUAAUGGUUAAGAGCUCAGGCUUUAGAGCUGGACCUUCUGGGUUGAACCCCAACUCUGCCACUUCCCAUCUAUGAAUCUGCGGGCAAGUUACUCUCUGUGUGCCUCAGUUUUGUUUGUUUGUUUGUUUGUUUGUUUUUUUGAGACAGAGUUUCGUUCUUGUUACCCAGGGUGGAGUGCAAUGGCGCAAUCACGGCUCACCGCAACCUCCGCCUCCUGGGUUCAGGCAAUUCUCCUGCCUCAGCCUCCUGAGUAGCUGGGAUUACAGGCAUGCGCCACCAUGCCCAGCUAAUUUUUUGUACUUUUAGUAGAGACGGGGUUUCACCACGUUGACCAAGAUAGUCUCGAUCUCUUGACCUCGUGAUCCACCCGCCUCGGCUUCCCAAAGUGCUGGGAUUACAGGCUUAAGCCACCGCGCCCGGCCGCCUCAGUUUUAUCAUUUGCAAAAUAGAGAUGGGAGCCGUGAUACCUACUUCUUAAGGAUGUUGUGAAUUAUUAGGUGUAAAGCAAUUAGAAUGAGAUCUGGCUCGUAGAAGGUUCUCAAUAAUCAUUAGCUACUCUGUUAGUCAGCUUGGGCUUAUAGUGAAAUACCAUAGAUUGAGUGGCCUGAACAACAAAAAUUUAUUUUCUCCCAGUUCUGGAGGCUGAAACUGUGAAAUCAGGGCGCCAACAUAGUUAGGUUCUAGUGAGGGCUCUCUUCUUGGCUUGCAGAUGGCCACUUUCUUCCUGUGUCCUCUCAUGGUAGAGAGAUCUUUCUCUCUUUUUCUUAUAAGGUCACCAACCCUAUAAGAUUUAGACUUCCUCUGCCUUAGCAUGACCUCAUUUAAUCUUAAUUAAAUCAUAAAAGCCCUAUCUCCAAAUAUAGUUACACUGGGGGUUAGAUUUUAACAUAUGAAUUUUGGAAAGACACAAUUCAGUCCAUAACAGCUACUAUUUUUAAUUAGCUCAUAACUUAGAACUGUUGCAGAUGUCUUGUGAAUGUAGAAUCACGAAGUUACUCUGGGCAGUAUAGAAAUAUGUACUUAAAAAGGGAAUUGUGUGAAUAAAUGGGGGAUAGCUCAAGAUAGUUGUGUUUUAAUUAGAAGACAAUUCUCAUGUGUUUCUUUGUCUAUCAAGCUACCAUCCUAGUCAGAGCCCUUAAAUAUGAUCCUGAGGCUUCUAUUUCUUCUUCUGCUCUUAGCUUGCACUAACCUUGGUGACUAGUUACUUUCUGAGUGUGGUUUAUUACCUUACUUCCGAGGGCCAUUUUAGCUUCUCCAGAUACAAUUGAGGCAAUGAUGACUUGCUUUCUAACUGCAGGAGAUACGCACUAAGGUCUCAAAAACUCCACUGACAUUCUUUAGAAGGGUGGGAGUCCCAGAAUCCAAAACACUUUUCUAAAAUUUUUCUCACAAAAUACUUCCUUAAUUUUCUCUUUCUGGGCCCUUUUAUAUCUUCAUUGAGUGACAGAUUUCAAGGAUUAUGCAACUGGUUCUUCUAUGUUUCUCUUUUUGGAAAUUCUGCAUAUGGUCUAGCACUUCCUUUGGAAUGCAGCAUCAAUUGUAUCUUGGUACAUCAGUCAAAACUUCCAAUUUAACAUCCUGUUACAUUUAGAAAUGCAUCCUUCAUAUCUUGUCAUGGUACACUGGAUACAGAACAUUUCUAACUCUCCAAGCCUCGAUGUUGAGCCAAUAGAGUUAGGGGUAGGUAAGGAAGGAAACUAACCUUUACUGAGUUUAAGUAAUUUGUUUAUUUCAUAUCACUAGAAACUGCAGAGCCAAAAUUGGUCUCUAGGUCUGAUGUUCUAAAACCCAGGGUCAUUUGCUAUAUGACCAAGCACUUGUGCAAAACCUAUCCAUGGAAACACUUCCUUAAGCCCUUUCAACUUUCAACCUUCUUGGUUAUAUUCAUCCAUCUAUUAAAACAUGGUCAGAUAUUUUUGAGUUUCUGGUAAAUCAAAGAAAACAUAAAAAAUAAAGUCAUUCCCUUUGCUCCUGAUAUAGCCUCUUUUUUCUACCUCAUAAAUAAGGAAAGGAUAACCUCUACUUUUAUAGCCUUUGAGGGCUUUUUAGAAAACUAUAAAUUAGUGACUUUGGCAUUGCCCCAAGAGGAUGUGUUUAUUAACUUGGUUAUAAAUACUUGAACUCCACACUCUAAAUUUAAUUUGUCAGAUAAGAGAAUAUUAUGUUAACAUGCAUUUAUGAUUUAUUACUUCCCUAAUAUCAAUGUGAGUUUCAGAAACUAAAACAUGGCUUUUAUUUUCCAAUUCCUAACAGGGAAGACAGAAAGAAGUGGAUCUUUCUGUUAAAAAUCCUUAAAGCCAGCUUUAAUCCAUAUUUAGGCACAUACCUAUGAAACUGGAAGCACUAAGGAAAAACGGAAACUUCUAAAAGAUCCUAUGGAGGAAAAAAAAUGGUUACCUCCUAGGGAAUCAGAAUCAGAAUAGCUUUUGACUUCUCAUUAGCAACAUUGGAUGCUAGAAGACAAUGGAACAAUGCUUCAAAGUUCUGAGGAAAAAUAAUUUUACCAUAGAACUCUAUUCCCAGCCAACCCCCUGGCCAAGUAGAGAGGAAAAAGCACAUAAAACAUGGCAUAAAUUAUAGUUUAUAAUUCUGAAAAAAAUAAUUGAAGAUGAACUCCAGCAAAAUAGAAACACCAUGAAAGAGGAAGGCAAGGAUACCAGGAAUAGUAGGUCUAACUUAGCAGAGAGAGAAGUUUCUGGAUGACCGGCUAGCAGCAGCCGAAGAGCAUGCUGUCUAGAUGGGAGCAGAACUUAGGAGGCACCUGGGUGGAUGUCUCAGGCAGGAGACUGGUCUAUGAGUGAAAACAUUUAUGUAAUCAUAGAACCUCUGGUUUUAGGGGCCAAGAGGUGGCAGUUAAAGACAGGCUGGGAAUUGCUAUCAAUCAUCAUGGUGGCCUGAGCUUCAGAAGGGCUCUAUGUUCAUCUCCUCUGACUUUUCUUCUCUGACCUCUGUGGGGAGCUCAUCUGCAGAAAUCCUUCUGUGCCAUGCAGUAGACUUGGCAUCAAGCAAGACUGAGGUUUUCCAGCUCUGCAGUGGCAAAGACCUGGGCUGUCACUGGGGAGGCUGCACCUGGACUGGACCCGUUUGUACUGAUGGCACUGGGUCCUGCACUAUCUGUGCAGCCCUAAAAAUAGCUCUCAAUUAACAUUGCAUUUCAAGAAUUGGAAAAUUUCCCAGAAGUCCAUUCUUUCUUCCUUUUCUAUUUCAUUACAUUUUGCAGUAAUAAUACACAAGCCUGCAGAAAACAUGACGGGUAAUGAAAAAAUGUAAUUAAUAUAAGCAGUGUAAAGCAUGUUUUUUUUUUCUCUGUUGUCCUUGCAGAAAAUUGCUGCUUUAAACCAAGCAGGAUAUGAAAAUGCAUAAACCCCCCCUAAUCUGCUGUGGUUUGUAAAUAUCUUAUGCAAAACAGUUAAGUCAACUGUCAGAUUUUUUUUUCUAACAUUAAGCCACAUAUUCUUGUAAAAUUUCUUUCCCCUGCAGGACAAAUGGAGUGAUUUGGAUAACUCUUUGUAAGUGGGGAGAAAUGGCAGUGAUGGUAAGGUUUUUCAACCAUAAACCUAAAAGCCAAAAGAACCUCCUUUUUGGAUGGCUGCUCUGUGCAUUGGUUUCAUCUGAAUGGCACCAUAGUACCUCCUCUCAGUACAAUCAGUUCUGGUAUAGUACUUGCGAAGAGGAAUGUCCGUGCUACUAUUUCACACCAGCACACCUUAUCCCAUUAACUGAAAUAAAGUGAUUCAGAGGCCAAGAGGCUGUGGUGUAUGCCAACAUGCCUGAGACCAUUUUGGUUGACUUAUUUGAACCACUAGUAAUUAUCUAUAGGUGUUUGACUAAGAAGUCACAAUGGAAUUUCAAAGUGGAAAUAGAGAGCAUUAUUCUGAAAGCAACUUCCAAGGCCAGUGCUUAUGGUUUGCUUGCAUUUGUUUUUUUCUUUGUCCUUUAAAAAAGAAAAAACUACAGUUGAUAUACCUUAUGGAUCAUUGUUAAUUUCUAUCUUGUCCUGGGUACUAAAGGUUUUCCAUGGCUUGGAUGUGUGUGAACUUUCAGAUUUUGCUCGUGUGGAAACUCGUGGCCUUGUCACCACUGCUUCACUAGGCUCCCUCGUGAAGAUUUCUAAGAAAUGUAGUACCCAACAACAAGAGUGAGACCCCUAAAGUAACAGGUGACUGUGGACACUGGGAAGAAGUCCAGCGCCAAGCAUGGGCCUUCAGUGAAAGACUGGUUAAGUCAUGUUCUGAUUUGUAUUAUCCUUGCAUUAAAUCGAGGAAUAAAAUCACCUUAGACAUUUCACUUGAUGUUGUUCUGAACUAUAAUUUUAAAAAUUCAGGUUGCAUUAUCCUCCCGAAAUAUCAUUUCACAUUCACAUUCACUCUCUUAGCAGGUCCAGUCUUGCAAGGGAGAUAUUUUCAAAGAAAUCAGAGUUUUUGGCCCCAGAGCAGAGAAUGAUCACCGUAACACAGGCAGCGUCCAUCCCUGGCCCCUGAUGACCAAAUGGCAUGCAGGAGUGAUGAGGUGGCUGGAAGAUAUCUCUGUGGAAUAAAGCUUCCUAAACUCCUGAACCUUCGGGAGGAAGAAGCAAAUGGCUCUCUCCUUGGGGAACUUGCUCACUCCUCUCUGACACCCCUCCUGCCUUUCCAGAGAAUGGGGUCUGCUUGUUUGCAAAUCCAGAGUACCAAGUGGGUAGCACAAUGCGAUGUUUGUAAAUAUGAUAAACCAUUACAAUAUUACAGCUUUUCAUUUGGAAAGCCAUUUAGGCAAGAAAUGAUUACUGACCCAUGAUAUGUAAAUGAUGGAAAUGCAGAAAUUAGUAUUUGGGUCAACUCAUGUAUUUUUCAACCAUGAAAUGAAAAUCUCAGUGUUCACAUUCCAAUUCAUACAUGAAAGCAUCACGGUGCUAUUAGUUGACUAUUGUGUGAAUUUAUUAUUGUCUUAGUUAAUGUUUUCAGAGCCACCCUGAAGUUAUACCUCUACUUUCAAUGCACUAAUAUUGUGGCUAAGAGAGGGGUGCAUGUUCCUCUGGGCCAGUGGGUUUCCUGAGGGAAUUCUAUGUUAGCUGAGAAGAAAGAAAGUGAUUUUGAAGGAAGGUAAGGGAAUCUCCACCCCAAAUAUUUCAAAUAUGGGAUCAGUCUAUCCCUCCCUUGUUUUGGGUUCACAAAAUCCACAAGAAUGUGUUACUCACUUCUACUACUGUGACAAGUUCCUAGGUGCCCUUGGGGACACAAAAUAAUCCAAAAGAGACCUUGGUCUUCAAGGUUAAAGCAAAAGAGACUCACCAUGAAAAUGGCACAAAAACUCAAAGGGAAAGAAUUUAGGAAGGCUUCCUGGAGGAGGCCAUAUUUAAACUGGUUCUGAAGGGCUGUUAAGGCUUGAAUAGGCAAAAAGAUGGAAAAAAGUUAUCCUAGGUGGAAAGCAAGAGAAAAUAUUCUAAAAAUGGAGUAGAUGCUACGUGUACAGAGAUCUCACCUUACAGAAACAUGAGGUGGGUGCAGCAGACCUUAGCAGGUUGCAACUAAACCCACAUGCCAUGCAUCUUGGAGACCCCUCAGAGUUCCUUCCCAGAGAGUACCAGAACAAGUGAUAUGGAAAAACAGUCUGGCCUACUGCGAUCAUAUAGACAUGCAGCAAACAGUCCUGGGGCUGAGAGACCGAGGCGGGAAGGCAAGUGGAGAGGGAGAAAGAGCAGUCUAAAGAUCAGGGAAAGAGAGUCUGGAGUGGGGCUGUCUCGUGUUUGUGCAUGUGUGUUAGGAGGGAUGCAAUGGAAAGAGGGGGUCUGAGAGACAGGAAAUGAAGUGUUAGAGAUGAGUCUAACUGUAUGCAGAGGGACAGAUUUACUGUCAACCCUUAAAUGGAGUAAGGAAAUGCUGAUGAUUUUGCUUUUUAAUCUAAUUAAUUGGCUAGAGGGAACCUUCAGUAUUUCCACCGUGCUACUAAAACUCCUCUUCCUGUAACCUCAGUACAGAACAACCCCAAGAUUGGGUAGUGCUGAGAUCUUUGGGUCAUCCAACCUCGACCUUGGGUUGUGAUCUGGGUUGUGCCAGCACCUUCACGAAGGGCACUCACUCAAACCCUUUACUCAGGGUGUGAAGGUCAGAAGAGAUGCUCCACCUUCAACAGGUUCUGAAUGCAGGACAAGACAGUUUUUAGUAGGUAGAUUAGAC
Callithrix jacchus (white-tufted-ear marmoset) is the source of this 7182-nucleotide non-coding RNA. The record is from RefSeq and is a predicted model, not a curated record. NCBI's taxonomy places the organism in Eukaryota, Metazoa, Chordata, Mammalia, Primates, Cebidae.